CUAGGUUUUUGCUCAUGCACCAUGGUUGUCUGAGCAUGCAACAUGCUUGUGUGCUCAUACCCCAUGGUUCCUGAGCAGAAAACUUC
This is a non-coding RNA of Felis catus (domestic cat), 86 nucleotides long. Lineage: Eukaryota; Metazoa; Chordata; Mammalia; Carnivora; Felidae. The record is from Rfam.